UCUAAGGAUGAGUGAAAGUAAAAUUUCAUUCUAAAUAAUAUACAUCGGUAAUGUUGACCGUCCUCAUUUCUCUUCUUAAAGUAAUGUUUCCUUCUUGUAGGGCCGGUAGCUCAGUUGGUUAGAGCACACCCUUGAUAAGGGUGGGGUCGAAAGUUCGAGUCUUUCUCGGCCCACCAUACUUAACUGGGGGAUUAGCUCAGCUGGGAGAGCGCCUGAUUUGCAUUCAGGAGGUCAGCGGUUCGAUCCCGCUAUCCUCCACCAGGAAACAUUUAGUUAUAAAAAUCGUUAAUAAAUUUAAUAAUUAAUAUCAAUAUCUAUAUCCGAACAUUAGUAAUGUUAUUAGCUAAUGUUCAAAAUAAAAAUUUGAUUCAACAUAGAAAAAUUUUUUUCUG
This 392-nucleotide transfer RNA is filed under the name bacterium HTCC8041. RNAcentral's name for it is "partial 16S-23S ribosomal RNA intergenic spacer". The stretch from base 100 to 173 matches the Rfam family "tRNA". The record is from RNAcentral.